Long non-coding RNA from Oncorhynchus nerka (sockeye salmon), 1537 nucleotides. RefSeq lists it as uncharacterized. The record is from RefSeq and is a predicted model, not a curated record. NCBI's taxonomy places the organism in Eukaryota, Metazoa, Chordata, Actinopteri, Salmoniformes, Salmonidae. The transcript has 2 exons.
CUUACAUUUUUACAUAGAAAACAUUUGGCACCGAUCCCAACUGGACUGGAAAAAGGAUGGGUUGCCUGGGCGUGGACCUGAGCCCUAGGACCAUGCCCCAGGACUACCUGACAUGAUGACUCCUUGCUGUCCACAGUCCACUUGGCCGUGCUGCUGCUCCAGUUUCAACUGACCUGAGCCCUAGGACCAUGCCCCAGGACUACCUGACAUGAUGACUCCUUGCUGUCCCCAGUCCACCUGACCGUGCUGCUGCUCCAGUUUCAACUGUUCUGCCUUUAUUAUUAUUCGACCAUGCUGGUCAUUUAGGAACAUUUGAACAUCUUGGCCAUGUUCUGUUAUAAUCUCCACCCGGCACAGCCAGAAGAGGACUGGCCACCCCACAUAGCCUGGUUCCUCUCUAGGUUUCUUCCUAGGUUUUGGCCUUUCUAGGGAGUUUUUCCUAGCCACCGUGCUUCUACACCUGCAUUGCUUGCUGUUUGGGGUUUUAGGCUGGGUUUCUGUACAGCACUUUGAGAUAUCAGCUGAUGUACGAAGGGCUAUAUAAAUAAAUUUGAUUUGAUUUGAUUUUGAAGUGUAUGUCACAUGAGAGGCAUUUGUCAAAAUGUUGUUGUUUUUUUGGCAGAAAUGCCUUCUGGAACAGGUGAACUUUCAUAUGCCUUAAUAACAAGCUUGUAUGCCAUCUGUAAAUAUGAAUAAAAUUGUUAAAUUGUUAAAUUACGAGCCUAGUUGGUUUAGACUCAGAAAAAGACUUCCCGCUAGCCAUGAUUGGCUGAGAUAAUGGAUGGGUCGGACAUGCCGAGAGAUGAGUUCGGAUUGGUCUGGAUGUCAUAAGGUGAAUGCACCAAUUUGUAAGUCGCUCUGGAUAAGAGCGUCUGCUAAAUGACUUAAAUGUAAAUGUAAUGUAAAUGUCUGCAAUGUAGCAUGCUUCUGUUUAUAACAUGAGCUGCUCAGUAUGUAGAUAAUCCUUGCUACCGUGACUUUUUUGAAAGAUAUAGCAUUAGCCAUGGAGAACGGCAAAAGUGUUGCUACUGCUAGUCGUAUGGGUUGGGAUUAUGGAUUCAUUGUUUAGCUAGCUAGCUAAAAGACUCCACUAAAACAGAUGACUACAUGAUCCAUCAAGUUAGCCAGGUGUGUCUGGGGAGGAUUACAGCAAUCUAUUGUACAUAUCUAGAUAAUAGUGACUCAUUAUUUCACAUGACCCAUCAAUUUAGACAAGUGUCUCUGGGUAAGCAUCAUCUAAUAAAUUAUACAGUAUAUGUAUCUGGACACUUUAUAUUUUUGAUAUAGUGUGUGUUUACCAGAGACAGUAAUGUGAAGAACAACAUGACCUGCACCAAAGUCAGAUUAGGAUAUAGGCCAAGGACAAGAUAAAGUUUUUUCCUUGUCCAAGAUGGCAUAGCAGCAAGACAUGUUUGUUUUUGUCCCGUUUUUGUCCCGUGUAAAUAUUCAGCUUUUUUUGCUUUUCUAUAUACAUAUAUUUCAAUCUCUUUUUUCAUUUUCGAAUAAAAUAUACUUUCCUGCAACCCGCCUCACCCAA